ACAGAGGUGGCAAGCGUUGUUCGGAUUCAUUGGGUGUAAAGGGUCCGUAGGUGGUCUAGCAAGUCUGAUGUGAAAGCCCUGGGCUCAACCUGGGAAUGGCAUUGGAUACUGGCGACCUAGAGUGCGGUAGAGGGUGGCGGAAUUCCCGGUGCAGCAGUGAAAUGCGUAGAUAUCGGGAGGAACAUCCGUGGCGAAGGCGGCCACCUGGACCAGCACUGACACUGAGGCACGAAAGCGUGGGGAGCAAACAGGA
RNAcentral lists this ribosomal RNA (253 nucleotides) under uncultured prokaryote. Its description in RNAcentral is "partial 16S ribosomal RNA". It matches the Rfam family "Bacterial small subunit ribosomal RNA", at positions 525 to 777 of the family's 1533-position model. The record is from RNAcentral.